This is a non-coding RNA of Styela clava, 528 nucleotides long. NCBI's taxonomy places the organism in Eukaryota, Metazoa, Chordata, Ascidiacea, Stolidobranchia, Styelidae. The record is from RefSeq and is a predicted model, not a curated record.
GAAAUAUUAGCUUAUAUUGAAACAACAAAAUGAUUCUUAUUUAGAAAAGUAGUUGGCGGCAUUGCUAAAGUCGGUCUCAAAUUUCUUCCAUGGGAUCGUGAUUCUUUGGAGAAACUGGCCUACCUAAAAAGCGAGGACAGCGACUCGUUUCAAGAACUCUUGGAGAAUGCGAAGCAUGAAUUCAAAGACGAAUUGUCUGAUGGUGACAUGAACAAGUUGGUUUCUACAUUAAAUGCAGUCUCUGGAAUGAAUCUGGACGAAAUUGAAGAGUAUGCUCAUAAUAUGAAAAGCAACGAUGUAGAAGUUAAUGAAAGCUUAAAGCAAGCUACUGACCAACUCCGUGAGGAAUUACUCCUGAAAACCGCAAUGAUGCGAUAAAUGAGUUCCGAUGCAAAAAAUUUGGCCAUAUUGUUUCUGAAAUCUAGCGAAAGUUAUACUAUAGUAUUUUUCUUUAUCUAGUUAUUUGAAUUAGUUGAAGCGUCUUACAUUGCGGAUUGAUUUCGAUAAUAAAUAAAUAACUAAGCGGAA